Molecule: ribosomal RNA, 591 nt
Filed under: uncultured bacterium
Lineage: Bacteria
Description: partial 16S ribosomal RNA
Rfam family: Bacterial small subunit ribosomal RNA
Source: RNAcentral
UGGGGAAUUUUGGACAAUGGGCGAAAGCCUGAUCCAGCAAUGCCGCGUGUGUGAAGAAGGCCUUCGGGUUGUAAAGCACUUUUGUCCGGAAAGAAAUCCUUGGCUCUAAUACAGUCGGGGGAUGACGGUACCGGAAGAAUAAGCACCGGCUAACUACGUGCCAGCAGCCGCGGUAAUACGUAGGGUGCAAGCGUUAAUCGGAAUUACUGGGCGUAAAGCGUGCGCAGGCGGUUUGCUAAGACCGAUGUGAAAUCCCCGGGCUCAACCUGGGAACUGCAUUGGUGACUGGCAGGCUAGAGUAUGGCAGAGGGGGGUAGAAUUCCACGUGUAGCAGUGAAAUGCGUAGAGAUGUGGAGGAAUACCGAUGGCGAAGGCAGCCCCCUGGGCCAAUACUGACGCUCAUGCACGAAAAGCGUGGGGAGCAAAACAGGAUUAGAUACCCUGGUAGUCCACGCCCUAAAACGAUGUCAACUAGUUGUUGGGGAUUCAUUUCCUUAGUAACGUAGCUAACGCGUGAAGUUGACCGCCUGGGGAGUACGGUCGCAAAGAUUAAAAACUUAAAUGGAAUUGACGGGGUCAUAGCUGUUUCCU